This is a non-coding RNA of Pelobates cultripes (western spadefoot toad), 225 nucleotides long. NCBI's taxonomy places the organism in Eukaryota, Metazoa, Chordata, Amphibia, Anura, Pelobatidae. The record is from the annotation of a GenBank genome assembly.
AGGCUAGAUACAUUAGUGAUGCUAAAACAGUUGUAGUGUGGUAAUGCGCUGUGCUGUGUGGUCACAGUUGGCCUGUGUGCGAGGUUUAUACAGGGUGUGUUGCUCUAGUGUGGGCUAUUUGAAAACUGCGCAUUUUAAUUAUGUUGAGACUCGUUAUUCACAAUUUUUAUGCCGCUGUCACCUGCAGAUCGUUCAACAUUUUUAACCAGCAUUAUCCCAAUAACA